UUGAGUUAGUAAUUUUUUGUACAUCUCCUCUCCCGAAGCCCAGGUAUGGUAUACACCCCCAAAAAUAAAGAGCCUUGAAUGCUAGAAGAAAAGCACCUAUACCUAGCAAAAUUAAGUGAAGACCAAAAAUUGUGGACAUUUUAUUUCUAUCUUUCUA
Non-coding RNA from Gossypium raimondii (Peruvian cotton), 157 nucleotides. Lineage: Eukaryota; Viridiplantae; Streptophyta; Magnoliopsida; Malvales; Malvaceae. The record is from Rfam.